GAAAUGCGAUAAGUAAUGUGAAUUGCACAAUUCAGUGAAUCAUCGAAUCUUUGAACGCACAUUGCGCCCGCCAGUAUUCUGGCGGGCAUGCCUGUCCGAGCGUCAUUUCAACCAUCAAGCCCCCGGGCUUGUGUUGGGGACCUGCGGCUGCCCGCAGGCCCUGAAAACCAGUGGCGGGCUCGCUGUCACACCGAGCGUAGUAGCAAUCACCUCGCUCAGGGCGUGCUGCGGGUUCCGGCCGUUAAACAGCCUUACAAAACCCAAGGUUGACCUCGGAUCAGGUAGGAAGACCCGCUGAACUUAAGC
RNAcentral lists this unclassified non-coding RNA (306 nucleotides) under plant metagenome. RNAcentral's name for it is "partial contains 5.8S ribosomal RNA, internal transcribed spacer 2, and large subunit ribosomal RNA". The stretch from base 1 to 105 matches the Rfam family "5.8S ribosomal RNA", at positions 50 to 154 of the family's 154-position model. The record is from RNAcentral.